This 1300-nucleotide long non-coding RNA is filed under the name Homo sapiens (human). RNAcentral's name for it is "long intergenic non-protein coding RNA 2395". The record is from RNAcentral. Lineage: Eukaryota; Metazoa; Chordata; Mammalia; Primates; Hominidae.
CAGUUAAAUUUGAAUUUCAGAUAAGAAUUUCUUAGCAUAAGUAUGCCCUAUGCAAUAUUUGGGACACAUUUAUAUCAAAAAAAACUCAAUAUUUAUCUGAAAUUCAAAUGUAACUGUGUGUCCUAGAUUUUAUCUGGCAGCCUUAUUGAUGGUGGCUUAUUGACUGGCUGGGAAUGACAGGGGUGUAGGCCAGGAAAUGGCUCUGUGAAGGCUGCCUAGAACUGAAUCGAACAUGAGGAUGAGUCAGUGUCAAGACUCCCAGUGGGGCCAUCGGAUCAUUACUGCAUGAUCGUCUUAAGCCUUUGUUAGUGAAUCCCUCAGACUCACGCCUUCUUCUCUCCAGGCCUGAACACCCUGUCCUACCUGGUCCUACCUGGAUGCUGGCCUCAGUAAGCUCCUGGGCUCAUUGAAGAUGAACCUAGCAGUAGUAUUUACACCACUUGUUGUGUGCCCACUGUGGGCCCGGCGCCAUGCCGAGUGCUCUAUGGAUGUGAGAUGAGAACACUGAAGCAGUUUUUUCUAAAGAUAGCUGCCUGGCACAGUGGCUCACAUCUGUAGUCCCAGCAUUUGGGGAGGCCAAGGCAGGUGGAUCACUUGAGGCCAGGAAUUCAAGACCAGCAUGGCCAACAUGUGCUGGGAGAGAAAAGCAUACGACAUAGACAGGGAGGUCAAGCUCCACCACGCAGAUGAGGUGCAGGCCACCAGUCUUCCUCUGCCACAUCUCUUUCUGAAAAGCCACAGGGUGCCUCAGGCUUGGAGCAUCCCGGAGCCAGUUACAACCCAAGACUUCAGCCUUCUGGAAGGUGUUGGGUCAGCCACCCUGAAGGACGAUCCUGCCCAAGUGACAUGCUUUGCUCUUCCUUCUCACCCAGGACUUCACAUUCACCCUUGCAAUCCAUGUGGGGACACUGUUGGAUAGGAGGCGUGGUCCCAGCGUGGUCUCCCUGUCUGGGCCUCUGCCUAUGCCAAAUGUUUGCCUUACGCUGCACACUCAAGAGGUUCCAUGUAUACAGAUGGGAAUUCCAGAGCUACAGAAAAGGCAGCAAGCACCAUGAUUUAAGCUAACCAGUGUGGAUUCACACCUUCCUCUCUCUCUAUCAGUGGCAGAACUACCAGCUAGAGUAAGAAGUGGUUGAUCCAGGACCUAAACAUUCUGGAAACUCUUGCCCACUUCUGGGAGAAAUGACCCAAUCCAUAGUACUAAGCACACCUUAACUUUCGUAGGACGCAGGCAAGUUGUCAUACCGUGUGCCUAAAUAUAGAAAAAUGAUCCACUGGACUAAUAAAGUGUUAAAUAAAA